This 228-nucleotide unclassified non-coding RNA is filed under the name soil metagenome. RNAcentral describes it as "partial internal transcribed spacer 1". The record is from RNAcentral.
UUGAAUUUAAUGUAAGAGUUUGGUUGUAGCUGGCCUAAUUAUAUUUGGGCAUGUGCACACCUUCCCCUUUCAUCCACACACACCUGUGCACCUGUGAGACAGAGAUGGGGAAUUUACUGGCUUUUGAAUAAAGGCAAUAGGUUAUUGGACCCCCCUCUGUCUACUUAAUUCACUACUAAACUCUAAUUUAUUAUAAAACGAAUGUAAUGGAUGUAACACAUCUAAUAC